UACGUAGGGUGCGAGCGUUGUCCGGAAUUAUUGGGCGUAAAGAGCUCGUAGGCGGUUUGUUGCGUCGGCUGUGAAAACCUGAGGCUCAACCUCAGGCCUGCAGUCGAUACGAGCAGACUAGAGUGUUGCAGGGGAGACUGGAAUUCCUGGUGUAGCGGUGGAAUGCGCAGAUAUCAGGAGGAACACCAGUGGCGAAGGCGGUUGCCUGGAGCUUUGCUGACGCUGAGGCGCGAAAGCGUGGGGAGCGAUCCGG
This 253-nucleotide ribosomal RNA is filed under the name uncultured bacterium. Its description in RNAcentral is "partial 16S ribosomal RNA". It matches the Rfam family "Bacterial small subunit ribosomal RNA", at positions 524 to 776 of the family's 1533-position model. The record is from RNAcentral.